UUCGGUGGUCAUGGCGGUGGGGAAACGCCCGGUUCCAUUCCGAACCCGGAAGCUAAGCCCACCAGCGCCGAUGGUACUGCACUCGAAGGGGUGUGGGAGAGUAGGACACCGCCGAAC
RNAcentral lists this ribosomal RNA (117 nucleotides) under Amycolatopsis cynarae. Lineage: Bacteria; Bacillati; Actinomycetota; Actinomycetes; Pseudonocardiales; Pseudonocardiaceae. The record is from RNAcentral.